AAUCACAAAGUGAACGUGAAUUCUGAUCUGACCACGCGUGUCUUCUUAUGUGUCCAAACAGAAACAGCUGGGGGCGACACUGAGUGACAUCAAGACGAGACUUGAGGAGAGAGAGAAUACACUGAAGGAGACGAGGAGGGCGACGGAGGAGAUGAAGAUGUCACUGCAAAGAGAGAUGUAAGAAAAUGAGAAGAGCUUCACUGAUCUGAUACAGUGCAUUGAGGAAGCCCACAGGAAACUGAUUGUGAGGACCAGAGAACAAGAAAAGAGAGAAACGGAGAAGGCUGAAGGAGUGAUGGAGCAACUGGAGAAGGAGAUUGAGGAGCUGAAGAGGAGAGAAGCUGAGCUGAAGGAGUUUUCAGAGACCAAGGACCACGUCCACUUCCUGAAGACUUCUGUCCCCUCACACUGGACAUCAACACGGCACACAGAGACCUCCGUCUGUCUGAAGGGAAUAAGAAGGUGACAUGUUAGAGGACAAAGACUGAAUAUCCUGAUCAUCCUGACAGAUUUGACUACUGGGAACAAGUUCUGUGCAGAGAGGUUCUGACUGGGACUCGCUGCUACUGGGAGGUGGAGUGCAGUGGACGUCUCAUGAGGAUUGGAGUCGCAUAUAAAGGACUGAACAGGAAAGGAAAGAACUGGGUGUGCGGCCUUGGAUACAACGACAAGUCCUGGUGUUUGCUGUGGUCUCAUUCCCAGUACUCUGUGUGUCACAAUAAAAAGGAGACUGUAAUCCGCGCCCCCUACAGCCCCAGAAUAGGUGUGUAUCUGGACUGGCCUGCUGGCUCUCUGUCAUUUUAUAGCGUCUCACACACAAUGACCCUCCUGCACAGGUUCAACACCUCCUUCACUGAGCCCCUUUAUUCAGGGUUUUGGCUUGAUCUUCACUGUAGUGUAACAAUCAGCCAUCUGACACCAUGUGACCACUGACCAGUACCCUCUACUUGUCACUUGAUGUCCCCACAAGCUCAGGUGUCUUUAUAGUUUGUGGU
This is a long non-coding RNA of Erpetoichthys calabaricus (reedfish), 995 nucleotides long. RefSeq lists it as uncharacterized. NCBI's taxonomy places the organism in Eukaryota, Metazoa, Chordata, Cladistia, Polypteriformes, Polypteridae. The transcript is spliced from 3 exons. The record is from RefSeq and is a predicted model, not a curated record.